This 72-nucleotide transfer RNA is filed under the name Camelus bactrianus (Bactrian camel). It matches the Rfam family "tRNA". From Rfam's summary of the family: Transfer RNA (tRNA) molecules are approximately 80 nucleotides in length. Their secondary structure includes four short double-helical elements and three loops (D, anti-codon, and T loops). RNAcentral also lists the same sequence under 2 other names. Lineage: Eukaryota; Metazoa; Chordata; Mammalia; Artiodactyla; Camelidae. The record is from Rfam by way of RNAcentral.
GAGGGUGUAGCUCAGUGGUAGAGCGCAUGCCUAGCAUACACAAGGUCCUGGGUUGAAUCCUCAGUGCCUCCA